Anguilla rostrata (American eel) is the source of this 2223-nucleotide long non-coding RNA. RefSeq lists it as uncharacterized. The transcript has 6 exons. The record is from RefSeq and is a predicted model, not a curated record. Lineage: Eukaryota; Metazoa; Chordata; Actinopteri; Anguilliformes; Anguillidae.
AAUGACAGAAGGUGGAUGGAACUACAGAUAUGGUUGCAAAGAUGGCUUAUAAACAAUAGUGUUUCAGUUGAUUUAAUUAGCCGAGGAAGUAUUUAGAGGCUCAAUUGAGAUUGCAGUGGGAAAUUGCUCUGAAAUGGCCAGCCCUGAUUUUUCACAUUGGGUGCCGUGCGCGAAGGAUUUCACCCUUUCUUUGUAGAUAAUUAGAAUGACCACAAUCACUCCCUGGAUGGCCACUGAUUGGAGCGCACACAUGCCAUGAGAAAUAUGAAAAGUGGCGUUCCUUUCAAAGACCAACGGCUGCUCCUGCUCCGCGUAAUACUGAGAAUUUGUGCUGUUUUGAAAUGAGUUGGCAGCCUCCUGGCAGUAAGCCAUUUUAUUUGUAAAGGUUUAAUUAACCCCCAUCCCCCUCUUUCAGCCCCAUCUCUACCACAUAUUCUGAGAAACUGUGUGUUUUGAUUUUUUAAAAAAAUAUUUUGGCAUUUUUCUCUGGCUGCUUUGUAAGCGCACGAUGGACUUGUUUGUGGAAAAGGCCGUGCGUUUAUAACAAGAGGGUAAACAUUUGCUACACGCUGCUGCGGGGAACAGACCGCCAGCCGAAUUGUGGCAUCCAGCCCUUUCUGAUAAGGCUUUAAACUCAAGAGUGAUUGUCAGUACGUGAGCCUGUUUGCACUUGUUGGUUUUUCUCGUUGGGAUUUUUCUCUGAAUGAGGCGUCUGCGGAACUGCCUGCGCAAGAGCCGGUGGCUGGAACGGGUGUUGGGUGGACUAUGUCUCACACAGCCUCCAAGAGGCUUCUGUGCAUUCACUACUGCCCUGUAUCAGAAGCUGGCUUGGAAAGGCAGAGUCAAUAUAGUACAGAGUGGAACUACAGAUACAAAGUGCCAUUCAGGCAUUCUGUUACCUGUGCUUCACAGCUGAUCUGCCGCGACGUGGACCCCUGGGUUUAUCAGGAGCAGUGGCCAGACUCUCUCCCGCUCCAUCCAGAUGUGGCCCUUUUUCGAUAGUCGGACGCAGCCGAUGCCCGUGACGAUGUGGCUGGUAACCGGGCCUGUCAUUCAUUCACCCCACAGAACCCCCGGCAUCGCAUAUCGCUGCACAGCCACCACAUCUCACCCACGCGCAGAACCAGAGAAUUUAUAACACGGCUCUUUCUCCCUCUUCAGACUUCUUAAUGUUAAAAUGUUAAUUCUCUGAAGCGUUGAUGUCUGCACUCUUUGGUCAAAUGUCAAAACGAAAGGGAAAGGACUGUGUGAGCGGGAGGCAUAAUUAAUGUCCCUCAGGGAGCUGGUAUAUCGAGAAUUAUUACAGAUUGAUUUAAACAUUUUUCAAGGCGAUGCUGCUCUCCUUAGCCGAGCGGGAGGAAGGCCGGCCCCAGUUAUUUGAUCCCUGUGAAUAAUGAUAGCGCGAAGGUCUGAGCCGUGUUCCUCGCUCGAAGGCCAGGGCCUAACUGCUUUGUCGGUUGCUAACGGGAACGAAGCUACUGCUUUGGAAUAGCCCUGAAAACCAAAAUAGCACAGUUCCCUCGUAAAAAAAAAAAAAAAAAGUAGUGUUUUGAACCACGUUGGUCAUGUUAUGGGGUGUGCUACCAUACUAGACAUAUGAUGUUUCUCAACAAAAAUACACAGAUGCACCCUUAUGCCCCUCUGCUUAAUGCUUUGGCACUUUAAUAUAUCAUUAUUCCAAACCGCACUUUGAAAAAUGUAAAAAUUUCAAUUUAAAUACUCUUAUGCACUUACCCCGCUCUGGGCAUGUCGAAGUGUCCUUGAGCAAGACACCUAACCCCUAACUGCUCUGGCGAAUGACAGGCAUCAAUUGUAAAGCGCUUUGGAUAAAAGCGCUAUAUAAAUGCAGUCCAUUUACCAUUUACCAUACCUAUAGCAAGUUGCAGUUUAAAUUUGCCAUUUAAAAUGACCUAAAACAUAUAAAAGCUUAGACAACCUGAAACCUUUGUGGAUUCUUAAAGUUACAAGAUAUAAUUUAACACAACAGCUUCUUUUUUUUUUUGCGAGGUUGAAUUUUGCAAUCUGUUGCACCAAACUUCACUCCCAGAAGUUUGGUGCAACAGACAGCGCAUUCACUGGGCCUGUAGAUGGCGCCAAAUACAAUGUGACUCUUAUUUUGUUUUAUAUGCAGGAUGUUAUAUUUUUAUCUGAUAGGAGACAAAAGACAACAAUGUUUGUUGGGGCUGUGAGUCUUCUUUCUAAUAAAUUUAAAAAAUCUCUUGA